This is a long non-coding RNA of Ostrea edulis (European flat oyster), 2434 nucleotides long. RefSeq lists it as uncharacterized. The record is from RefSeq and is a predicted model, not a curated record. Lineage: Eukaryota; Metazoa; Mollusca; Bivalvia; Ostreida; Ostreidae. The transcript is spliced from 2 exons.
GUACACUGUAAUUUUGUAAGGAAAUAUUAGCAUAUUCCGGUAGAAGAAAGUGGUUUUUCUAAAAUACUAGAUAAUACUAUGUUUGACUUAUGUUGUGAUUUUAGAUUGUAGAUCUAGAAUAAUUUAAUGGCAUAGAUGAUAGAAUGAUAACGGAAGUAUAUGUAUAAUAUAGAUGUCUUUUUCUGUGCGGGGAAUCAUUCAUCCACCUGUAGUUGAUGAUUAGUUCAGUCUGUAAGUGCUUUGUUGGACUACAGUAUGAUAUUUUACUCACAUUUCAGAGGCUUUUAAUGGAUUCUGCACUUCAAAUGGAGCAUUUUAUGCUUUUCUAGGAUUUACAUAAAGUUUUAGAAUCGUUUGAUAUGAUAUUGAGAAAAAAAGGAACGAUUGGAGAGAGGUAAACCAAUGCAUCGAACGUGAAUUGUUACACUCAGCAUAUGUAGGAGUGCAUAGUUAAUGAUAAAAGUGAUUAACAAAAGCAUAUAUCACGUGAACGUUUGGUAUUGCUGCUCAUUUGGACGUCUUUCUGGUGAUACCAUAAAAACAGAUAUCUCUUGUCGCGACACGUGUAGGCACAAUAAAAGAUCUCGUGAGCACCGUGCUGGGGUCAAACGUUUUGGCACUUCAUAUAUAGCUCGUAAAGUCUGUACACGGGUGAACAAUUCUGCAAAUUAGGCUUUAGGCUUCUGCUUUUAUCGAGCCAACGCCUGCAACGACAAGGGAUCUCAUUUUUUAAGGUCUCAAAUCAGGGACCCGUGGAUCUUGCUUCUAAUUGCUGAGAGUUGGAGGAAGAAGCACUCGCUGUCUAUUGUUACAUCUAAGGUCGGACACAACCAAGGCACAUUCACUGUCUGGUGAGAAAGCGAAUGUUCCUAGUACCAAGUCACGAAGUAGGUAUCGGACCCCUGUAGUGAAAAUGCAUUAUUUUUAUAUUAAAAAAAUCGUCAUGAAUAAAUGCUGCAUGAGGCCGUUCUUUACCUAUUGAAUUUGACUAUGGAUUACUCUGUGUCCCUGAUCAAGAUAGAUAGCUCACGGCGGGUGUGACCGGUCAACAGGGGAUGCUUACUCCUCCAAGACAUCUGAUCCCAUCUUUGAUAUUUCCAAGAGUCCGUAUUUGCCCGGAUUUCAGUUUUGUAUUCUUUAUAGGAUUCUUGAGACUUACCACUGCUUGUUAUCUUUACCCUUUUCUUUACCCCUGCACAAUUUAAAACAAAUAUAUGAAUAAUUAUGAAGAGCACGGAAUACUCUAGCAAAAUUGUGAAAUGCUUGGCCCCUGCGUCAGUGGUUCAGGUUGUAUAGUGGUGUUCAAAUGGCUUGCCCUGAAAAGUCUCUGUAAAUAAGUCAUAGAAACCGUCAUAUAUACCAGCUGUAGGUGCCUGAAACAGAGACCAGAAGAUAUCUUUCAACACAUGUAGUGCGAGCUACCGAACCUUAAUGAGGAUAUAUGUUCAUUAAAUAAUUAUAUUUUUUUUCAUACUAAAUUCAUUCCACGUAUAAAAGCACGAGUGAAAAAUAAUCUAUGACCUAAGAGGAAAAAAAUAUUGGUCUAUCUUGUGUAAUGAAAUUUCUUCAUGUGAAGUUUCAAAUGUGUGAAUUCAUACGGAUAAUUAUUCAUGUUUAUAUGCAAGGAUAUAAUUUGUCUAGACAAACUUUGAAAUAAAUCCACCCCAAACCCAAGCAACAUUCCUUCGUAAUGAUUUUUAUAAAUAUUGUAUUUGCUAUAGAAUGUCGUCUUGUGUAGAUGAAUUAGAUAUGCAAGGAAGAUAGCAGUUGAACAAUCGUCAGUAACGAAUGACUCCUCUUUUUACAUAAAGGUGUAUAAAUGUAAUACGAUGCAUAACACGUGAAAAGUGCAUAAAAAUCACACUCCGUAUUGUUGUAAACAAACACUAAACUGGUUCAGCGCUUUGUUGACGUCAGUUUUGAAAUUUUCUACAAACUUUGUGUACAUCAUAUGACGCUCUGUGAGAAACUGAUAUAAAGAGAAGGCUGGUAGUACAGAAGGUCAGAACAAAGAGACAAUGACAGAGAAAACAUCUCUACUGUUUUGGCUGUUGGUGUAUAUCGUGUCUACCUUCAUACUGGGGACUGUGGAGGUGUGUCAUUACCUACUCUCCCCUAUCAUCCGCCGGCGUGAAUCUUAUGCUUCACUAGCUGAGUAUGAGGAAGUCAAUGCUACUUGAUCUUCAAGGAAACUUUUCAACACCCACGUGUUGUCUCCACCUUCCAAGUUGCCAGGGCCCUAACACUGGUCUUGAUCUUAUUCAUCGGCCUCAUUAACGAUGGUUGUGAAUACCAUUUUGUUGUACAAUGUUGUAAUGGACAUUUGUUUGAAACAAAGGGAUCGGUCAUGAACUUUGUAUGUUAUCACAUUUUGUUCAACAAAAUGCCAUUGUUAUACGUUUUGUUCUUCAAAUAAACUUCAAAGUGUCUGGUA